This 497-nucleotide ribosomal RNA is filed under the name uncultured bacterium. RNAcentral describes it as "partial 16S ribosomal RNA". It matches the Rfam family "Bacterial small subunit ribosomal RNA", at positions 28 to 507 of the family's 1533-position model. The record is from RNAcentral.
GAUGAACGCUGGCGGCGUGCCUAAUACAUGCAAGUCGAACGACCGGACGAGAAGCUCGUUCCUCUGCUGUUAGCGGCUGACGGGCGAGUAACACGUAGAUCACCUACUUCUAAGUCUGGGAUGAUUUCGGAAAAAAACAGCUACUACUACAUCAUACUAUGUACCGCUUGGUUCAAAAGUGAAUGACGCCCUUGCUGACACUUAUAGACGAUUUCGCGUUGCAUUAGCUAGUUGGUAAGGUAACGGCUCACCAAGGCAACGAUGCAUAGCUGACCUGAGAGGAUGAUCAGCCACACUGGAACUGAGACACGGUCCAGACUCCUACGGGAGGCAGCAGUGGGGAAUCUUCGACAAUGGGCGAAAGCCUGACCGAGCAACACCGCGUGAGUGAUGAAGGUCUUCGGGUCGUAAAGCUCUUUUAUUAGGAAAGAACAGAUGUGGGUUUAACCGUGCAUAUCUUGACGGUACCUAAUCAGAAAGCCACGGCUAACUACGUG